RNAcentral lists this ribosomal RNA (210 nucleotides) under Halamphora montana. RNAcentral's name for it is "Amphora montana partial 18S ribosomal RNA". It matches the Rfam family "Eukaryotic small subunit ribosomal RNA", at positions 175 to 410 of the family's 1831-position model. Lineage: Eukaryota; Bacillariophyta; Bacillariophyceae; Naviculales; Amphipleuraceae. The record is from RNAcentral.
UACCCCUCUGGGGUAGCACUUAUUAGAUGGAAACCAACCCCUUCGGGGUGAUGUGGCUGAAUCAUAAUAAACCUGUGGAUCGCCGGUGGCGAUGGAUCAUUCAAGUUUCUGCCYUAUCAGCUUUGGACGGUAAGAUAUUGGCUUACCGUGGCUUUAACGGGUAACGGGGAAUUAGGGUUSGAUUCCGGAGAGGGAGCCUGARAGACGGCU